AAGUGCACAAAGCAUCCCACAUUUGCAGGCUUUUUGAAGGUUCGAUGUACACAACCUUCCCCUUGCUUUUGCAGAGAGGCUGUUUUCGUGGCUCGUACCCAUGACCUCCAAGUUAUGAGUGGAGUAACUUUUACCGUUACAUCAGAGUCAAUCUCUCAUACUGUCCGAUUUAAAUAUGGAACAAAAUUUAUUUUCCAUACACACCUCUUGAUGCACAUCAGCCAUGGACAAGGUUAACUGUAGAAACACUUUGAUGGUUGCAAGUACAACAGCACCAUUUGCAUGCUGAAGUCUAUCUUCAAGGAGAUUCAUGAUGUCAAAUAUCUCAUUGCUAUCUGCAGGUACAUAUUUAGCAACCAACUCAAGCAAAAGACAUUGAGCCCAUUCACUAAAUUCCCUGAUCCUGAAAUUGAAAAAAAAAAAAAAAAAAAAAUACUGGCAAUAAAAAUGUUUGUAGUCCGAGGAAAAUAUGUAUGGCGCACGCAACACCAAGAGAUGCAGGUGGCUUAAAACAGCAUAUGAUUGCUCUGGACUUCCAGAACUGACUAGGGUAAGGAGUGGAGCUUUAAUACGUUCAUAUACCUGACAAACAAAAAACAAAAUCAUUAGUGAAAUAAUGCUCUAUGAAAGAUCAUCACAGCAAUCUAACAUAAAAAUUAUGGUCCUUCCAAAAUGACCCAAGUUUGGUGUGCUAUUAUUGCAAAAAAUGACAUUUCCUACCACUUAAACAGGCCUGCCUCUAAGAAAAGGAUCAAAUCAGAUUAUAGGUGGGUCCCUCCCAGAUCUUACAUCCCACAAUAUCCCAUCGAUCCCUAGGACAAAAACUAGAAAACAUAUAUCAAAUGACAGAUAUACCUCGUGAAGAAAGUAAGGGUGGGAAAAGGUGUUGAAGACAUAUCCAAAAAAACAUUAUUCUUUACAAAACACUUCCAUAGUUAUUGAUGGAGACAAUCCAGCUAUCCUAGACCUGUUUUUUAAUACGGAAUAAAAUAUUCUUUUUAUAGACGAACUGACAAAGAUAAAUAUCUUCUAUCUCAAAAUCCUAACAUCAUGUAAAAGAAAUAUUUUUUAUGAGAAUUGCUUAAAGAUUAAAACAUGUAAAAAGGAUAGGAGUAGAUUCAUGUAAAAUUUCUCAGUCCUAACAAAGUGGACAUGUAGACCAAAAAUCAAAUUGCUUCACAACAAUAGCAAGUUGUGUGAUUGUGUAAAUGUAAGGAAUUCUCUCUUCUUCCAGUUUUUAUACUGUCCAACUUAAAUAAAAGCGGGUAAUCAAGUGCACAAAGCAUCCCACAUUUGCAGGCUUUUUGAAGGUUCGAUGUACACAACCUUCCCCUUGCUUUUGCAGAGAGGCUGUUUUCGUGGCUCGUACCCAUGACCUCCAAGUUAUGAGUGGAGUAACUUUUACCGUUACAUCAGAGUCAAUCUCUCAUACUGUCCGAUUUAAAUAUGGAACAAAAUUUAUUUUCCAUACACACCUCUUGAUGCACAUCAGCCAUGGACAAGGUUAACUGUAGAAACACUUUGAUGGUUGCAAGUACAACAGCACCAUUUGCAUGCUGAAGUCUAUCUUCAAGGAGAUUCAUGAUGUCAAAUAUCUCAUUGCUAUCUGCAGGUACAUAUUUAGCAACCAACUCAAGCAAAAGACAUUGAGCCCAUUCACUAAAUUCCCU
Molecule: long non-coding RNA, 1670 nt
Filed under: Jatropha curcas
Lineage: Eukaryota; Viridiplantae; Streptophyta; Magnoliopsida; Malpighiales; Euphorbiaceae
Description: long non-coding RNA (JCUR_LNC001889)
Source: RNAcentral